UACAGGGGGGGGCAAGCGUUGUUCGAAAUUACUGGGCGUAAAGGGCUCGUAGGCGGCCAACUAAGUCACACGUGAAAUCCCCAGGCUUAACCUGGGAACUGCGUGUGAUACUGGAUGGCUUGAAUCCGGGAGAGGGAUGCGGAAUUCCAGGUGUAGCGGUGAAAUGCGUAGAUAUCCGGAAGAACACCGGUGGCGAAGGCGGCCUGCUGGGCAGUGGCUGACGCUGAG
Molecule: ribosomal RNA, 228 nt
Filed under: uncultured bacterium
Lineage: Bacteria
Description: partial 16S ribosomal RNA
Rfam family: Bacterial small subunit ribosomal RNA
Source: RNAcentral